Molecule: long non-coding RNA, 297 nt
Organism: Papilio machaon (common yellow swallowtail)
Lineage: Eukaryota; Metazoa; Arthropoda; Insecta; Lepidoptera; Papilionidae
Exons: 3
Source: RefSeq, a predicted model, not a curated record
UAAAACGCAAGCAAUGAGCAAAUCGCCAUAAUGGUGGAAUUUAUGGAAAGGUACGUCAAUAACGUAUUUAAAAUGGUAAACACCCCGCAGGGAAGAGUGAGGCGCCAGGAACUUUGCCAACUAUUAAAGAUGUUGCUGGGUAAGGCAGGUAGUGAUCCUGACAAGUCUAUGGAGCAAUGGAUCAAGGACUACCAGUAGAGGAACAGUCAAAUGAGGAGCCUCCAGUUGAGGAACCAUCUAUCCAAAUACAAAUUUUGGAGCAGAUCACUGACAAUGAUGAACAAAAUGAUAUAUAUG